RNAcentral lists this transfer RNA (64 nucleotides) under Japanagallia malaisei. RNAcentral describes it as "tRNA-Pro". Lineage: Eukaryota; Metazoa; Arthropoda; Insecta; Hemiptera; Cicadellidae. The record is from RNAcentral.
CAUCAAGUAGUUUAUAAAAAUAUAAGUUUUGGAGAUUUAAGAUAUCAUAUUAUGGUCUUGAUGA